This 493-nucleotide ribosomal RNA is filed under the name uncultured Glomus. RNAcentral describes it as "SSU rRNA". It matches the Rfam family "Eukaryotic small subunit ribosomal RNA", at positions 569 to 1066 of the family's 1831-position model. Lineage: Eukaryota; Fungi; Glomeromycota; Glomeromycetes; Glomerales; Glomeraceae. The record is from RNAcentral.
AGCAGCCGCGGUAAUUCCAGCUCCAAUAGCGUAUAUUAAAGUUGUUGCAGUUAAAAAGCUCGUAGUUGAAUUUCGGGAUCAGUUCGUCGGUCGUGCCUUUGGUAUGUACUGGUGUUACUGGUUCCUCCCUUCUGACGAACCGUCAUGUCAUUAAUUUGGUGUGGCGGGAAAUCAGGACUGUUACUUUGAAAAAAUUAGAGUGUUUAAAGCAGGCUCGCGCUUGAAUACAUUAGCAUGGAAUAAUGAAAUAGGACGUUCGAUCCUAUUUUGUUGGUUUCUAGGAUUGACGUAAUGAUUAAUAGGGAUAGUUGGGGGCAUUAGUAUUCAAUUGUCAGAGGUGAAAUUCUUGGAUUUAUUGAAGACUAACUACUGCGAAAGCAUUUGCCAAGGAUGUUUUCAUUAAUCAAGAACGAAAGUUAGGGGAUCGAAGACGAUCAGAUACCGUCGUAGUCUUAACCAUAAACUAUGCCGACUAGGGAUCGGAUGAUGUUAA